This 717-nucleotide ribosomal RNA is filed under the name Shewanella algae. RNAcentral's name for it is "bacterial SSU rRNA". It matches the Rfam family "Bacterial small subunit ribosomal RNA", at positions 760 to 1472 of the family's 1533-position model. The record is from RNAcentral. Lineage: Bacteria; Pseudomonadati; Pseudomonadota; Gammaproteobacteria; Alteromonadales; Shewanellaceae.
GUGGGGGAGCACACAAUUUGAUAUACCCGGUGUUUUCCCACCCCUGUAAACGAAGUCUUCUCGGUUGGGGUGUUUUGAACACUGCGCUCUCAAACUAAGCAUUAACCAGACCGCUUGGGGAGUCCGGCCCCAAGGUUAAAAUCCAAAUGAAUGCCGGGGGCCCCCACAACCGGUGGGGCAUGUGUUUUAUUUCGAUGCAACGCGAAGAACCUUCCCUACUCUUGACAUCCACAGAACUUUUCAGAGAUGAAUUUUUCCUUCGGGAACUAAAGACAGGUGUUGCAUGGCCGUCGUCAGCUCGUGUUGUGAAAUGUUGGGUUAAGUCCCGCAACGAGCGCACCCCCUUUCCUUACUUGCCAGCGGGUAAUGCCGGGAACUUUAGGGAGACCCCCGGUGCUAAACCGGAGGAAGGUGGGGACGACGUCAAGUCAUCAUGGCCCUUACGAGUAGGGCUACACACCUGCUACAAUGGUCAGUACAGAGGGUUGCGAAGCCGCAAGGUGGAGCAAAUCCCAUAAAGCCGGUCGUAGUCCGGAUUGGAGUCUGCAACUCGACUCCAUGAAGUCGGAAUCGCUAGUAAUCGUGGAUCAGAAUGCCACGGUGAAUACGUUCCCGGGCCUUGUACACACCGCCCGUCACAGCCAUGGGAGUUGGCUGCACCAGAAGUAGAUAGGGUAACCUUUUGGGAGCCCCCUUUCCAACCCUGGUUUCCCCCCU